RNAcentral lists this ribosomal RNA (251 nucleotides) under uncultured prokaryote. RNAcentral's name for it is "partial 16S rRNA". It matches the Rfam family "Bacterial small subunit ribosomal RNA", at positions 525 to 775 of the family's 1533-position model. The record is from RNAcentral.
ACAGAGGUCCCAAGCGUUGUUCGGAUUCACUGGGCGUAAAGGGUGCGUAGGUGGUGAGGUAAGUCGGAUGUGAAAUCUCGGAGCUUAACUCCGAAACUGCAUUGGAAACUACCUUGCUAGAGGGUUGGAGGGGGGACUGGAAUUCUCGGUGUAGCAGUGAAAUGCGUAGAUAUCGAGAGGAACACCAGUGGCGAAGGCGAGUCCCUGGACAACUCCUGACACUGAGGCACGAAAGCUAGGGGAGCAAACAG